Molecule: microRNA, 19 nt
Filed under: Drosophila ananassae
Lineage: Eukaryota; Metazoa; Arthropoda; Insecta; Diptera; Drosophilidae
Also listed under: 1 other name
Description: miR-263b-RA
Source: RNAcentral
UGGCACUGGGAGAAUUCAC